RNAcentral lists this ribosomal RNA (467 nucleotides) under uncultured bacterium. Its description in RNAcentral is "partial 16S ribosomal RNA". It matches the Rfam family "Bacterial small subunit ribosomal RNA", at positions 28 to 506 of the family's 1533-position model. The record is from RNAcentral.
GGCGAACGCUGGCGGCGUGCUUAACACAUGCAAGUCGAACGGAAAGGCCCUGCUUUUGUGGGGUGCUCGAGUGGCGAACGGGUGAGUAACACGUGAGUAACCUGCCCUUGACUUUGGGAUAACUUCAGGAAACUGGGGCUAAUACCGGAUAGGAGCUCCUGCUGCAUGGUGGGGGUUGGAAAGUUUCGGCGGUUGGGGAUGGACUCGCGGCUUAUCAGCUUGUUGGUGGGGUAGUGGCUUACCAAGGCUUUGACGGUUAGCCGGCCUGAGAGUGUGUCCGGCCACAUUGGGAGUAAGAGACGGCCCAGACUCCGACGGGAGGCAGCAGUGGGGAAUAUUGCACAAUGGACGGAAGCCGGAUGCAGCAACGCCGCGUGCGGGAGGACGGCCUUCGGGUUGUAAACCGCUUUCGCCUGUGACGAAGCGUGAGUGACGGUAAUGGGUAAAGAAGCACCGGCUAACUACGU